AUUGAACGCUGGCGGCAUGCCUUACACAUGCAAGUCGAACGGCAGCACGGGUGCUUGCACCUGGUGGCGAGUGGCGCACGGGUGAGUAUUACAUCGGAACAUGUCCUGUAGUGGGGGAUAGCCCGGCGAAAGCCGGAUUAAUACCGCAUACGAUCUACGGAUGAAAGCGGGGGACCUUCGGGCCUCGCGCUUUAGGGUUGGUCGAUGGCUGAUUAGCUAGUUGGUGGGGUAAAGGCAUACCAAGGCGACGAUCAGUAGCUGGUCUGAGAGGACGACCAGCCACACUGGAACUGAGACACGGCCCAGACUCCUACGGGAGGCAGCAGUGGGGAAUUUUGGACAAUGGGCGAAAGCCUGAUCCAGCAAUGCCGCGUGUGUGAAGAAGGCCUUCGGGUUGUAAAGCACUUUUGUCCGGAAAGAAAUCCUUGGCCCUAAUACGGUCGGGGGAUGACGGUACCGGAAGAAUAAGCACCGGCUAACUACGUG
This 486-nucleotide ribosomal RNA is filed under the name uncultured bacterium. Its description in RNAcentral is "partial 16S ribosomal RNA". It matches the Rfam family "Bacterial small subunit ribosomal RNA", at positions 30 to 507 of the family's 1533-position model. The record is from RNAcentral.